ACAAACGCUAAACAUAUCUUAAAUAAUUCUAGUUGUAUUUACAAACAAAUGGUACUGUUGUCAGGAUGAUUAUUUACAUAGAAUAUGGUGGUGUUUUCUUUUAUACACAAAAUUGUGUAUGCUCGUGUAUAGUAGAAUGUAAACAAUAAUGGUAGCUCAGAAUUGUCAGGGGAAACAUAGAAAAGACACACAAUUUGAUAUAGUCGAGUUUAGUACAAUGUAAACAAGAAGGUAUUUCAGAAGUAGAGAGAUACAAAAUCAUAAAAGUGUGUACACAUACUAGAAUCAUGCUGAUUGCGAACAAAGUACAAAUUAAGCAGCAGAAUGUCUUCUUUAGCAUUGUUGAUGCUCAUAAUUGAGUGUCACCUACUAUAUACAGUUUGUUAUGAUUGUGAAAAUCCUGACUUGCCUAUGGAAAAUGGAUUGUAUGUUAUUAAAAAUGUCGAGGCACGUACAUUAUGUACUUAGUGUUUUGAAAAUCA
This is a long non-coding RNA of Mytilus trossulus (common blue mussel), 482 nucleotides long. RefSeq lists it as uncharacterized. NCBI's taxonomy places the organism in Eukaryota, Metazoa, Mollusca, Bivalvia, Mytilida, Mytilidae. The transcript has 4 exons. The record is from RefSeq and is a predicted model, not a curated record.